GGCUCAUUGGGGUAAUGGCUAUCCUUCCCGGCUGUCUCCCGGGAGAUACGGGUUCAAUUCCCGUAUGAGCCG
Molecule: transfer RNA, 72 nt
Filed under: Flavobacterium sp. MFBS3-15
Lineage: Bacteria; Pseudomonadati; Bacteroidota; Flavobacteriia; Flavobacteriales; Flavobacteriaceae
Description: tRNA-Asp
Rfam family: tRNA
About the family: Transfer RNA (tRNA) molecules are approximately 80 nucleotides in length. Their secondary structure includes four short double-helical elements and three loops (D, anti-codon, and T loops). Further hydrogen bonds mediate the characteristic L-shaped molecular structure. tRNAs have two regions of fundamental functional importance: the anti-codon, which is responsible for specific mRNA codon recognition, and the 3' end, to which the tRNAs corresponding amino acid is attached (by aminoacyl-tRNA synthetases). tRNAs cope with the degeneracy of the genetic code in two manners: having more than one tRNA (with a specific anti-codon) for a particular amino acid; and 'wobble' base-pairing, i.e. permitting non-standard base-pairing at the 3rd anti-codon position.
Source: RNAcentral